AGAGUUUGAUCAUGGCUCAGGAUGAAUGCUGGCGGCGUGCCUUAGGCAUGCAAGUCAAGGGGUUGCCUCGCAAGAGGUAACACCGGCAGACGGGUGAGUAACGCGUAGGAAUCUACCUCUAGGAGGAACAUAGCUCAUCGAAAGAUGGGGUAAUAUUCCAUGGUCUCGCAAGAGUAAAGGACUUAACGGUCCGCCAAGAGAUGAGCCUGCGUCCUAUCAGCUUGUUGGUGGGGUAAAUGCCUACCAAGGCGAUGACGGGUAGCUGGACUGAGAGGUCGAUCAGCCACAACUGCACUGAAACACGGGCAGUACAUCUACGGAUGGCAGCAACUAGGAAUAGUUCGCAAUGGACGAAAGUCUGACGACGCGACGCCGCGUGAAGGAAGAAGGCCUAUGGGUUGUAAACUUCUUUUGCUAAACCGUUCACAGUUUAGAGAAUAAGCCUCUACUAACUACGUGCCAGAAGUCUCGGUAAUACGUAGGAGGCAAGCAUUAUCCGGAUUUAUUGGGCGUAAAGUGUGCGUAGGCGGUUUGGAAAGUCUAUUCUUAAAGACCGAAGCUUAACUUCGGAACUGGAUUGGAUACUACCAAACUUGAGGAUUGUUAGGGAUGCUAGAACAGUAUGUGUAGCAGUGAAAUGCGUUGAUAUAUACUGGAAUACCAAAGGCGAAGGCAGGCAUCUGGGAUUUUCCUGACGCUGAGGCACGAAAGCCAGGGGAGCGAAA
This 725-nucleotide ribosomal RNA is filed under the name uncultured Brevinema sp. RNAcentral's name for it is "bacterial SSU rRNA". It matches the Rfam family "Bacterial small subunit ribosomal RNA", at positions 8 to 773 of the family's 1533-position model. Lineage: Bacteria; Pseudomonadati; Spirochaetota; Spirochaetia; Brevinematales; Brevinemataceae. The record is from RNAcentral.